Molecule: ribosomal RNA, 2130 nt
Filed under: Shouchella clausii
Lineage: Bacteria; Bacillati; Bacillota; Bacilli; Caryophanales; Bacillaceae
Description: bacterial LSU rRNA
Rfam family: Bacterial large subunit ribosomal RNA
Source: RNAcentral
UGUAGCUGAAACUUCGUUUCCUCCAGAGUGGAUCCUGAGUACGGCGGGACACGUGAAACCCCGUCGGAAUCCGGGAGGACCAUCUCCCAAGGCUAAAUACUCCCUAGUGACCGAUAGUGAACCAGUACCGUGAGGGAAAGGUGAAAAGCACCCCGGAAGGGGAGUGAAAGAGAUCCUGAAACCGUGUGCCUACAACUAGUCAGAGCCCGUUAACGGGUGAUGGCGUGCCUUUUGUAGAAUGAACCGGCGAGUUACGGUAUCGUGCAAGGUUAAGCUGAUGAAGCGGAGCCGCAGCGAAAGCGAGUCUGAAUAGGGCGCAUUAGUACGAUGCCGUAGACCCGAAACCGGGUGAUCUACCCAUGUCCAGGGUGAAGGUCGGGUAACACCGACUGGAGGCCCGAACCCACGCAAGUUGAAAAUUGCGGGGAUGAGGUGUGGGUAGGGGUGAAAUGCCAAUCGAACUCGGAAAUAGCUGGUUCUCCCCGAAAUAGCUUUAGGGCUAGCCUCGAGUGAUGAGUCUUGGAGGUAGAGCACUGAUUGGACGAGGGGUCCCCACAGGAUUACCGAAUUCAGUCAAACUCCGAAUGCCAAUGACUUUAACUCGGGAGUCAGACUGCGAGUGCUAAGAUCCGUAGUCAAGAGGGAAACAGCCCAGACCAUCAGCUAAGGUCCCCAAGUAUACGUUAAGUGGAAAAGGAUGUGGAGUUGCCCAGACAACCAGGAUGUUGGCUUAGAAGCAGCCAUCAUUGAAAGAGUGCGUAAUAGCUCACUGGUCGAGUGACUCUGCGCCGAAAAUGUACCGGGGCUAAACGUAUCACCGAAGCUAUGGCAAUCCCGUAUGGGAUUGGGUAGGGGAGCGUUCCAAGGACAGCGAAGCUAGAUCGUGAGGACUGGUGGAGUGCUUGGAAGUGAGAAUGCCGGUAUGAGUAGCGAAAAGAUAGGUGAGAAUCCUAUCCGUCGAAAGCCCAAGGUUUCCUGAGGAAGGCUCGUCCGCUCAGGGUUAGUCGGGACCUAAGCCGAGGCCGAAAGGCGUAGGCGAUGGACAACAGGUUGAUAUUCCUGUACCACCUCGUAUUCGUUUGAACGAUGGGGGGACGCAGAAAGGUAGGGUGAGCGCGCCGCUGGCUGUGCGCGUCGAAGCAUGCGAGGCUGGAACAUAGGCAAAUCCGUGUUCCGUAAGGCUGAGCUGUGACCGUGAAGGACCUUCGGGUCCGAAAUCCCUGAUCCUCCGCUGCCGAGAAAAGCCUCUAGUGAGAAUACAGGUGCCCGUACCGCAAACCGACACAGGUAGGCGAGAAGAGAAUUCUAAGACGCUCGGGAGAACUCUCGUUAAGGAACUCGGCAAAAUGACCCCGUAACUUCGGGAGAAGGGGUGCUCUAGUAGGGUUAACCGCCCGAGAGAGCCGCAGUGAAAGGAUCCAAGCGACUGUUUAGCAAAAACACAGGUCUCUGCGAAGCCGUAAGGCGAAGUAUAGGGGCUGACACCUGCCCGGUGCUGGAAGGUUAAGAGGAAGGGUCAUCCCAAAUGGUGAGAAGCUCUGAAUUGAAGCCCCAGUAAACGGCGGCCGUAACUAUAACGGUCCUAAGGUAGCGAAAUUCCUUGUCGGGUAAGUUCCGACCCGCACGAAUGGUGCAACGACUUGGAUACUGUCUCAACGAGAGACCCGGUGAAAUUAUAGUACCUGUGAAGAUGCAGGUUACCCGCGACAGGACGGAAAGACCCCAUGGAGCUUUACUGUAGCUUGAUAGUGAGUGUUGGUAUCAUCUGUACAGGAUAGGUAGGAGCCUUGGAAACCGGAGCGCUAGCUUCGGUGGAGGCGUCGGUGGGAUACUACCCUGAUGGUGCUGGCAUUCUAACCUCGACCCGUGAUCCGGGCCAGGGACAUUGUCAGGUGGGCAGUUUGACUGGGGCGGUCGCCUCCUAAACAGUAACGGAGGCGCCCAAAGGUUCCCUCAGAAUGGUUGGAAAUCAUUCGUAGAGUGCAAAGGCAGAAGGGAGCUUGACUGCGAGACCUACAAGUCGAGCAGGGACGAAAGUCGGGCUUAGUGAUCCGGCGGUGCCGUAUGGAAGGGCCGUCGCUCAACGGAUAAAAGCUACCCUGGGGAUAACAGGCUUAUCUCCCCCAAGAG